Long non-coding RNA from Quercus lobata, 718 nucleotides. RefSeq lists it as uncharacterized. The record is from RefSeq and is a predicted model, not a curated record. The transcript is spliced from 3 exons. Lineage: Eukaryota; Viridiplantae; Streptophyta; Magnoliopsida; Fagales; Fagaceae.
GAUAGUUAUUAUUGUUUAUUUAACUUCUCUAAGUUUGAUUGUUUAACAUAAAAUUCAUUUGAGGGGCAUCAAUUUAUAUUUGGUUCUUUCAUCUUCUCCCAUUCAACCCCUCUUCAUUUUUAUCUCCUAAAGAGCCCCUCUUCAUACCAUAGCACCAGACCACCACUUCAUGACCAUCGGUCUCCCACAAGAUCCACAGCAUCAAACAAGUUGUCUCCUCCAUAAGUCCGGUCAUUCGAAGAGAAUUUCAAGUUCUCGUUAUAUUGGUGUUUGUGCAACAUCAAGAAUGUGGCAGAUUUUGCUUCAGUGCAGCCAAGGCUUAUAUGCAGACUAGUUACCAUAAAACGAAAAGAAAAAAGGGCUUGUUAGCACAUGACAAGAUCGUUAAAGAUUCAAUUUCUGGGGGCAUAAUCUUCCAUCCAGACUCACAAAUAAGGGGGAGAAUACAACUCGUCUCGCAAGUGAAUGAGAGUUACAAUGCCUACGUACAUGAGAGUUAAAAAGCUGUGAAAAAGGAGGCAAAGUACUGCACAUCAUUCGCAAUAUGACCAAAUUGUGCAAGGGAACUGCAGCCACUCUCAGAGCAUUGAUGAGGAACUAAGAGUCUCCUUCCAAGAUAACCCAGUCGACACCUAUUUCCAUUGCAAAUUCCAGUGCUUGUCUUGCUGCCAAUGCCUCGACCUCAAUGACCGUGAAAGCAGGGGCGGAACUGUGUGUA